This 254-nucleotide ribosomal RNA is filed under the name uncultured bacterium. RNAcentral describes it as "partial 16S ribosomal RNA". It matches the Rfam family "Bacterial small subunit ribosomal RNA", at positions 524 to 776 of the family's 1533-position model. The record is from RNAcentral.
UACGUAGGGAGCGAGCGUUGUCCGAAGUUACUGGGCGUAAAGCGCGCGUAGGCGGGCUGUUAAGUGAGAGGUGAAAGGCUGGGGCUUAACCCCAUGCAGUGCCUCUCAUACUGGCGGUCUUGAAUUCGGCAGGGAGAAGUGGAAUGGCUGGUGUAGCGGUGAAAUGUGUAGAGAUCGGGGGGAACACCGGUGGCGAAGGCGGGUCUCUGGGCAUCUCCUGACGCUGAGGCGCGAAAGCGUGGGGAGCAAACGGG